RNAcentral lists this ribosomal RNA (253 nucleotides) under uncultured bacterium. RNAcentral's name for it is "partial 16S ribosomal RNA". It matches the Rfam family "Bacterial small subunit ribosomal RNA", at positions 524 to 776 of the family's 1533-position model. The record is from RNAcentral.
UACGUAGGGGGCAAGCGUUGUCCGGAUUUAUUGGGCGUAAAGAGCGUGUAGGCGGCUAUACAGGUCCGUUGUGAAAACUCGAGGCUCAACCUCGAGACGCCGAUGGAAACCGUAUGGCUAGAGUCCGGAAGAGGAGAGCGGAAUUCCCGGUGUAGCGGUGAAAUGCGUAGAUAUCGAGAGGAACACCUGCGGCGAAGGCGGGUUGCUGGGCCGACACUGACGCUGAUGCGCGAAAGCCAGGGGAGCGAACGGG